GACCUGUUUUAUUAAUCAGUGAUGAUAAUGUUUAUCAGUACAAUUCCGAUGUUAUCAACCCUGAUAGCUGCUGAUUACAUGACUUGACCCCGCUUCCCUGACAUGCGUUGGGUUCACUACGGGUGUGGGUCCUGUCCUCGGGAGAAAGGGGCAAAUCUUCGUAAUUGCCGCACUUGCGAGGAGGACCUCUGCAAUAAGAGGCUCGUUCCUGAACCAGUUGUGGUCCCUGCGGCUCCCCCUCCAGCCCCCUCUGGGGCCAGCGGAAAGUUUUUUAGUCCCGGACUGUUUUUUCUCGUAUUUUUAAUUGUUAAUUUUUAAUGUAAAAUUUUAAUGUAUAUUUUAAUUUUCCGUAGUUA
Molecule: long non-coding RNA, 356 nt
Organism: Bolinopsis microptera
Lineage: Eukaryota; Metazoa; Ctenophora; Tentaculata; Lobata; Bolinopsidae
Exons: 4
Source: RefSeq, a predicted model, not a curated record